This 406-nucleotide ribosomal RNA is filed under the name uncultured bacterium. Its description in RNAcentral is "partial 16S ribosomal RNA". It matches the Rfam family "Bacterial small subunit ribosomal RNA", at positions 29 to 526 of the family's 1533-position model. The record is from RNAcentral.
AUUGAACGCUGGCGGCAUGCCUAACACAUGCAAGUCGAACGAGUGGCGGACGGGUGAGUAAUGUCUGGGAAACUGCCCGAUGGAGGGGGAUAACUGCUGGAAACGGUAGCUAAUACCGCAUACCAUCGGAUCUGCCCAGGUGGGAUUAGCUGGUAGGUGGGGUAACGGCUCACCAAGGCGACGAUCCCUAGCGGGUCUGAGAGGAUGACCCGCCACACUGGAACUGAGACACGGCCCAGACUCCUACGGGAGGCAGCAGGGGGGAAUAUUGCACAAUGGGCGCAAGCCUGAUGCAGCCAUGCCGCGUGUAUGAAGAAGGCCUUCGGGUUGUAAAGUACUUUCAGCGGGGAGGCGUUACCCGCAGAAGAAGCACCGGCUAACUCCGUGCCAGCAGCCGCGGUAAUAC